CUGGAAAGUCCACGUUUUUUUUGCCAACAGU
RNAcentral lists this non-coding RNA (31 nucleotides) under Mus musculus (house mouse). The record is from RNAcentral. Lineage: Eukaryota; Metazoa; Chordata; Mammalia; Rodentia; Muridae.